Molecule: ribosomal RNA, 404 nt
Filed under: Fusobacteriota bacterium
Lineage: Bacteria; Fusobacteriati; Fusobacteriota
Description: Fusobacteria bacterium partial 16S ribosomal RNA
Rfam family: Bacterial small subunit ribosomal RNA
Source: RNAcentral
UGGGGAAUAUUGCACAAUGGAGGGAACUCUGAUGCAGCGACGCCGCGUGAACGAAGAAGGCUUUCGAGUCGUAAAGUUCUUUUAUAUGGGAAGAUAAUGACGGUACCAUAAGAAAAAGCCCCGGCUAACUACGUGCCAGCAGCCGCGGUAAUACGGAGGAUGCGAGCGUUAUCCGGAAUUAUUGGGUUUAAAGGGUGCGUAGGUUGCAAGGGAAGUCAGGGGUGAAAAGCUGUAGCUCAACUAUGGUCUUGCCUUUGAAACUCUCUAGCUAGAGUGUACUGGAGGUACGUGGAACGUGUGGUGUAGCGGUGAAAUGCAUAGAUAUCACACAGAACUCCGAUUGCGCAGGCAGCGUACUACAUUACAACUGACACUGAAGCACGAAAGCGUGGGUAUCAAACAGG